This 376-nucleotide long non-coding RNA is filed under the name Elaeis guineensis (African oil palm). RNAcentral describes it as "long non-coding RNA (EGUI_LNC031224)". The record is from RNAcentral. Lineage: Eukaryota; Viridiplantae; Streptophyta; Magnoliopsida; Arecales; Arecaceae.
CUUGCUCAUCUAUUCCAACAAAAAAUAAUGCCACACUUGCUUCCCAAAGCUUUGAUCUCUUCGAUGGUAAGGGAGAUUUAGUAGAGAAUGUCAUCUUUUUUCAGCUUUGACUCCUUCAUUUCUAAGACCUUGUAUAUUUUCACUCUCAAAUGAGCAUUCUUUCUUAGUCUUAGGAGUUCAAGACUUGAGUUAUCUGUUAUUCCACAAGUUACUCUUGCUUUGUGAGGCUUUGCUGUCCCUCUUAAUUGGUAUGACCGAUAAGAUGGAUUGGAGAGCUUGAUCGACCGGCACAGAAGGAGUGAUGGAGUGGCUAUAUGAUGGUUUGACAAGCAAGGGAUUCAAAUCCAUCAUGUUAAUAGGAGCUAGGAGGGGGAGC